Blepharisma stoltei is the source of this 678-nucleotide non-coding RNA. The record is from the annotation of a GenBank genome assembly. Lineage: Eukaryota; Ciliophora; Heterotrichea; Heterotrichida; Blepharismidae.
AAUCUGGCUGAUCCUGCCAUAUGUCAUAUGCUUGUCUCAAAGAUUAAGCCAUCAUGUCUAAGUGUAAACAAUUAUCCGGCGAGACUGUGAAUGGCUCAUUAAAACAGUCAUAGUUUAUUUGCUAGACGUUUAUAUGGGUCGAUGUAGCAAUUCUCGAGCUAAUGCAUGCUGUUUAUGCUGCAUGCGCAGUAUUUAUUAGAUAAAACCCAACGGAGGCGACCCUGUGGAAGUAUCAUAAUAACUUAGCGAACUCGAUGUAGAGAAGCAUUCAAGUUUCUGCCCUAUCAGCUUUUGAUGAGUUUAUUGGACUACCAUGGCAAUGACAGUGAUGGAGAAUUAGGAUUCGAUUCCGGAGAGGGAGUCUGAGAAAUGGUAACCGCAUCUAAGGAGGUAGCAAGUGCGCAAAUUACUCAAUCAUACUUAGGGAGGUAGUGGCAAGAAAUAACAGCGCGAGGCUUUAUCUUGCAAUUGGAAUGAGUUAAGUGUAUAAGCAUUUUGAGUAUUCACUGGAGGGAAAGUCUGGUGCCAGCAGCCACGGUAAUUUCAGCUCCAAUAGUAUAUAUUAAAGUUGUUGCAAUUAAAAAACUCGAACUUGAAGCUUCGGGGCUAGUCGCUGACCUUCUGGCAUCCAUCUCAGCAACGGCUUCGGCAUUAACUUAUCGCUGUCGUGAUCAGGUA